AACUUUUGGCAAUGGAUCUCUUGGCUCUCGCAUCGAUGAAGAACGCAGCGAAAUGCGAUACGUAAUGUAAAUUGCAGAAUUUAGUGAAUCAUCGAAUCUUUGAACGCACCUUGCGCCCUUUGGCAUUCCGAGGGGCACACCCGUUUGAGUGUCCUGACAUCCUCAAAACCUUCUUGGUUUCUUGACCGGGAAGGCUUUGGACUUUGGAGGUUUUUGCUGGCCUUCCUUUGUUGGAGCCAGCUCCUCUGAAAUGAAUUACUGGGGUCCGCUUUGCCGAUCCUUCACGUGAUAAGAUGUUUUCUACGUCUUGGGUUUCGCACUGUUCGCUCUGGAUCCUGCUUCUAACUGUCUCAUAGAAGACAAUGGUCAAGUGAUUGCCACUUGACCCAAUCACCUUGACCUCAAAUCGGGUGAGACUACCCGCUGAACUUAAGCAUAUCAAUAAGCGGAGGCU
RNAcentral lists this unclassified non-coding RNA (454 nucleotides) under uncultured Russulaceae. RNAcentral describes it as "sequence contains ITS2". The stretch from base 1 to 154 matches the Rfam family "5.8S ribosomal RNA". The record is from RNAcentral. Lineage: Eukaryota; Fungi; Basidiomycota; Agaricomycetes; Russulales; Russulaceae.